CUCUUUAGGGGGAUAGAGAUGGGAAAGGAGCAUGGCCCAGCUGGGUGUACUAGCUCUCCCUCCGCUGCACUUCUGGAACCUUUCAUGUAAGGGCUUCAGGAUAAGGGGGUUUCAUAGCUUUAGGCUCUUAUGGACAUUUGGACCAUUUGCUUCAUAAUCAUUUUGAACUGUUUCCUUAGGCUCUUUAUUGAGAAACUACCAAAGCAUCGAGAUUACAAAUCUGCUGUCAUUCCUGAAAAGAAAGACACAGUAAAGGUGGGUCUUCACUUUCAUUGUUGCCCAUCUAAAAGCUUGAGAGCAGCACAGACUGACUUCAAGAUAAAAGUAGUAGUCUCUGCAUCUGAGUACCAGAUCCUGCAAUAGGAGAUAAGGCCAUUUCACCAGAACAAUUCUGAAGUAGCAGAAAUUAAAGGAGAUUGCGUUUCCCAAAGCAGAAGAGCUGAAGGCAGAGCUGUUAAAACGAUAUACCAAAGAAUACACAGAAUAUAAUGAAGAAAAGAAGAAGGAAGCAGAGGAAUUGGCCCGGAACAUGGCCAUCCAGCAAGAGCUGGAAAAGGAAAAACAGAGGGUAGCACAACAGAAGCAGCAGCAAUUGGAACAGGAACAGUUCCAUGCCUUCGAGGAGAUGAUCCGGAACCAGGAGCUAGAAAAAGAGCGACUGAAAAUUGUACAGGAGUUUGGGAAGGUGGACCCUGGCCUAGGUGGCCCGCUAGUGCCUGACUUGGAGAAGCCCUCCUUAGAUGUGUUCCCCACCUCACCAGUCUCAUCCAUACAGCCUUCAGACUGUCACACAACUGUAAGGCCAGCUAAGCCACCUGUGGUGGACAGGUCCUUGAAACCUGGAGCACUGAGCAACUCAGAAAGUAUUCCCACAAUCGAUGGAUUGCGCCAUGUGGUGGUGCCUGGGCGGCUGUGCCCACAGUUUCUCCAGUUAGCCAGUGCCAACACUGCCCGG
This 955-nucleotide small RNA is filed under the name Pongo abelii (Sumatran orangutan). RNAcentral describes it as "processed transcript". Lineage: Eukaryota; Metazoa; Chordata; Mammalia; Primates; Hominidae. The record is from RNAcentral.